AUACGUAGGGUGCGAGCGUUGUCCGGAAUUACUGGGCGUAAAGAGCUCGUAGGUGGUUUGUCGCGUCGUCUGUGAAAUUCCGGGGCUUAACUCCGGGCGUGCAGGCGAUACGGGCAUAACUUGGGUACUGUAGGGGAGACUGGAAUUCCUGGUGUAGCGGUGAAAUGCGCAGAUAUCAGGAGGAACACCGGUGGCGAAGGCGGGUCUCUGGGCAGUAACUGACGCUGAGGAGCGAAAGCAUGGGUAGCGAACAGGAUUAGAUACCCUGGUAGUCCAUGCCGUAAACGGUGGGCGCUAGGUGUAGGGGUCUUCCACGACUUCUGUGCCGUAGCUAACGCAUCAAGCGCCCCGCCUGGGGAGUACGGCCGCAAGGCUAAAACUUAAAGGAAUUGACGGGG
RNAcentral lists this ribosomal RNA (398 nucleotides) under uncultured bacterium. RNAcentral's name for it is "partial 16S ribosomal RNA". It matches the Rfam family "Bacterial small subunit ribosomal RNA", at positions 523 to 918 of the family's 1533-position model. The record is from RNAcentral.